This 498-nucleotide ribosomal RNA is filed under the name uncultured bacterium. RNAcentral's name for it is "bacterial SSU rRNA". It matches the Rfam family "Bacterial small subunit ribosomal RNA", at positions 32 to 508 of the family's 1533-position model. The record is from RNAcentral.
AAUCAACGCUGGCGGCGUGCCUAACACAUGCAAGUCGAACGCGACUUGGGCUUCGGUCCAAGUUGAGUGGCGAACGGGUGAGUAACACGUGGGUGACCUACCUUCGAGUGGGGGAUAACGUCCCGAAAGGGACGCUAAUACCGCAUAACAUCCUGCCUUUGAACAGGUGGAGAUCAAAGCCGGGGAUCGCAAGACCUGGCGCUUGAUGAGGGGCCCGCGCCUGAUUAGCUAGUUGGUGGGGUAAUGGCUCACCAAGGCGACGAUCAGUAUCCGGCCUGAGAGGGCGGACGGACACACUGGGACUGAGACACGGCCCAGACUCCUACGGGAGGCAGCAGUGGGGAAUUGUUCGCAAUGGGCGCAAGCCUGACGACGCAACGCCGCGUGGAGGAUGAAGGUCUUCGGAUUGUAAACUCCCGUUGCUCGGGACGAAAAGCUUCGACCAAACACGUCGAAGUCUGACGGUACCGAGUGAGGAAGCCCCGGCUAACUCUGUGC